RNAcentral lists this ribosomal RNA (361 nucleotides) under uncultured Enterobacter sp. RNAcentral describes it as "bacterial SSU rRNA". It matches the Rfam family "Bacterial small subunit ribosomal RNA", at positions 8 to 365 of the family's 1533-position model. Lineage: Bacteria; Pseudomonadati; Pseudomonadota; Gammaproteobacteria; Enterobacterales; Enterobacteriaceae. The record is from RNAcentral.
AGAGUUUGAUCCUGGCUCAGAUUGAACGCUGGCGGCAGGCCUAACACAUGCAAGUCGAACGGUAACAGGAAGCAGCUUGCUGCUUCGCUGACGAGUGGCGGACGGGUGAGUAAUGUCUGGGAAACUGCCUGAUGGAGGGGGAUAACUACUGGAAACGGUAGCUAAUACCGCAUAACGUCGCAAGACCAAAGAGGGGGACCUUCGGGCCUCUUGCCAUCGGAUGUGCCCAGAUGGGAUCAGCUAGUAGGUGGGGUAACGGCUCACCUAGGCGACGAUCCCUAGCUGGUCUGAGAGGAUGACCAGCCACACUGGAACUGAGACACGGUCCAGACUCCUACGGGAGGCAGCAGUGGGGAAUAUU